Molecule: long non-coding RNA, 3150 nt
Organism: Chenopodium quinoa (quinoa)
Lineage: Eukaryota; Viridiplantae; Streptophyta; Magnoliopsida; Caryophyllales; Amaranthaceae
Exons: 4
Source: RefSeq, a predicted model, not a curated record
UCCAAAAGGAGGGCGAUUUCCACGGUCAAGUUACUGGUUGGGGUUGUUUAUACGGGCAAAUCAAAGCUGUUUCUGUAUGAGCAGCAAGCGGGUGUGCAGUGAUCGUAGGCGACUUGGGAUUGAGGGUUUGGAGGUAGUUGAUCGUCGUUGUCGUCGCAUCUGCCGUCACCGCGGGAAUCGCCAUUCAGCUCCUUGUACAGGGUUGUUUCAAGGCAAGAUUGAGAAUUGUGGAAAUAGGAGUUGUUGGUGUCGAAGGGGACAGUAGCAUGUUUGAAAAUGGCACCGGCGUGAACCCUUUUUCCCCAUUUGGAGAAGAGAAUUGGGAUAUGUAUUAAGUCCCGUUACAGGUCUCGGUGAAUUAGACCCAUUGAUGGAGGGGUUUAUAACCCCUGUUACGAACAUUGGUGGGCCGCACUGUACUUCACCAAUGAGAGCAUUUGAGACGGUACAAACGAAUGUAGUGAGCAAUGACAUUGGUGUAGUAACUUUUAUGGAGGCUCCUAGUUUGGGAAUGGUGUUUAGGACUUGGCAAGAAGUUGAAGAAUAUUACAAAGAGUAUGCUCAAUAGAAAGGGUUUGGGGUAAGCAGGGUUGCAGGAGCGUAUUUAAAGACUGGUGUUAGAGAUAGGAUUGCCAUGACAUGGAGGUGUGAGUGUGGGUAGGCCUGACAUUAGUGUUGUAAGGGAAGAAAAAAAAGGGCAAAAGCAAUGGAUGUUGGUGGGCCAGUAGGGACGGUUGGGGGACUCAUAUGUGAAGAUGAAUUGAGUAAGAGGAAGAGAAAGUCAAAGAAAUGUGAAUGUAAGGCAAUGAUAUAUGCAGGUCGUUCAAGCGCUGGUUAUUGGGUGAUAAGAAAAGUUGAAUUGGAACAUUCAAACCAUGAGCCAAAACCCGAGGAUGCUAAUCUUGUGAAAGAGUACAGAAUGAAGAAUAUGACCUCGAGUGUUAGGAAGAAGCUGUUGACCUUGUUUGAUCAGGGCGUACCUAUAUCCUAAAUCAUGGGUUGUUUUGAGUCUGAAGCUAAUGGGGAUGAAAUAUUUCGAAUGACUUUGAAAGACCUUCAACACGAAGUGUACAAGGCUAGGAGGAUUCGGAUGCUUGGAGGGGAUUCGAAUGCAAUGAUGGCAUAUUUCAACGAAAUGCAGGCUGGAAACCAAAACUUCUACCGCGCUCAGCGUUUGGAUGAGCAUGGACGUCUCAAAGAUGUUAUAUGGGUUGAUGCUCGGAGUCGUGCUGCGUAGGAGGAGUUUGGUGAUGUUCUUUGCUUCGAUGCAACGUAUCUUACAAAUGAGUAUGACCUUCCGUUUCUUAACUUUGCAGGCGUGAACCACCAUGGACAGUCAAUUUUGCUAGGAUGUGCUUUGGUAUCCCACGAGGAUUGCGAAACUUUUACAUGGAUGUUCAAACAGUGGUUGUCUUGCAUGAACAACCAAGAUCCAUUAGCGAUCCUUACAGAUCAGGCAGCUGCCAUGCGCAAGCCGUUAGAAGAAACUAUGCCUGGAACUCGACAUCGGUGGUGUAUCUGGCACAUAAUGAAGAAGAUUCCGGAGAAACAUUGGAAAUGUCCACGGUACGAUGAGUUGAAGAGUAAGCUAAAGACUGUUGUGUAUGAGAGACUUACUGUGGAGAAAUUUGAAAAGCGGUGGAAGGCUUUUGUGUGGCACUAUAAGUUAGAGAGUAAUGAUUGGCUAACUACUUUGUUCACCGAACGAGAAAUGUGGGUACCAGCAUACAUGAAAGAGUAUUUUUGGGCUGGUAUGAAAACAACACAACGUGUGGAGUGUAUAAAUAGCUUUUUUGACAGAUUUGUGAACCGGCAUACCAAGCUAUGCGAAUUUCCCGUGAAAUAUUCAAUGGCUAUGAAAAAAAAGGGUUCGCGAUGAAACGGAUGCAGAUGCGAAUUGCUCUAAGUACUUGCGGCGUCUUGCAAUUGGUUUCAAGAUUGAGAAGUUGUUUCGGAAGUUUUAUACUGACAGGAAAUUUCAAGAAGUUCAGACAGAAAGUAUUCGGAUGAACUAUUGUUAUUCUCAGGAGGAGUCAGCUGUUUCUGAAACUGUGACACAAUAGGUCUUGGAGGAUCGUGUGUGGAUUAUUUUGGAGAGUUCAAGUUAAGAGAUUAUUAUUGAUCGUAGGAGGUACUACCGUUAUGAAUUUAACUAGGACACAAAAGAGGUGUCAUGCGAGUGUCAUAGAUUUGAGACACACGGCAUAAUGUGUAAACACAUGAUGAGAGUAUUAGAUCUAAACCUUGUGUUUGACAUUCCAAGUAAGUACAUUCUCAAUCGGUGGAGGAAGGACUUAAUGAGGAAACACACACUUAUGAAGGUAUCAUACCAUGAUCCAUUUCAGAAUGUUGAGGUCAGAAGACAAAAUAAGCUAAUGGGAGCAUUUGAAUCCAUAUGUGAUGUUUCUUCCAUGAUCGAUGAUGACACUGUUGAUCUGGUUUUAAAGAGCUUGGUGGAUGUUGGGACAAAAGUAGAAAUGCGUCGUCGUAUGAAGUUGGACCAGACUUUUGGCAUGAACUUCCCUGGAGAGGGAAAGGGGUCCUUGCAAUAAAUUUCUGGGGCCGGUGCAACAUCAGCCACUAUUGUGCCCGAGACAGAGAUUCACCACUUAGAUUUAGAAACCACCCCACAUUCAAAGAUGGCUGAUCCUAUUCCAAAAAAAAGGGGGGGAGGUCGGCCCAAGGGUAGUCGCAGAAAAACCCUUCAAGAAAUUGGGUAUAAGAAUCGCCCAAAGAAGAAGGCAAAACAGCCGGUGAGUAUCAAUAUUAUUAAUGUUUCCAAUUAGUUGAGAAUUCUUCCACUUAGUGAUUUGAUGCGGCUCAUAUUCUAUUUCAAGUGUGCACUGAUGAUUAUAGCAUGUUCGAGGAUGAGUUGGUUGAUGUUCCUAUUCAAAUGCAUGUGAAACCAAGUAAAAAAAACAGUAAGACAAGUACUCCAAACGUGUCUCAACAAUGCAGUGGUUUAGAGUACAUUCCGGAAGACGAGGACUUCUUGAAAAUAGUACGUCGUCCUCGUCCUUUGUUUCGAACAACUUCUAAGGAAGGUGAAGACAUUACCUUAGUCUUUUGCAACCUGUGUGUCUUUUGCAACCUGUAACGAAUUCAUACUUUGGAUACUCUAGGCUGAUGGAAACUUAUUAUAACUCUUAA